GGCUGCUGUACCGUGACCUGCGGAGGGUCAUUACACAAAUAUGAAGGCGGGCUGGAACCUCUCGGGGUUACAGCCUUGCUGAAUUAUUCACCCUUGUCUUUUGCGUACUUCUUGUUUCCUUGGUGGGUUCGCCCACCACUAGGACAAACAUAAACCUUUUGUAAUUGCAAUCAGCGUCAGUAACAAAUUAAUAAUUACAACUUUCAACAACGGAUCUCUUGGUUCUGGCAUCGAUGAAGAACGCAGCGAAAUGCGAUAAGUAGUGUGAAUUGCAGAAUUCAGUGAAUCAUCGAAUCUUUGAACGCACAUUGCGCCCUUUGGUAUUCCAAAGGGCAUGCCUGUUCGAGCGUCAUUUGUACCCUCAAGCUUUGCUUGGUGUUGGGCGUCUUGUCUCUAGCUUUGCUGGAGACUCGCCUUAAAGUAAUUGGCAGCCGGCCUACUGGUUUCGGAGCGCAGCACAAGUCGCACUCUCUAUCAGCAAAGGUCUAGCAUCCAUUAAGCCUUUUUUUCAACUUUUGACCUCGGAUCAGGUAGGGAUACCCGCUGAACUUAA
This 553-nucleotide ribosomal RNA is filed under the name Alternaria alternata. RNAcentral describes it as "eukaryotic LSU rRNA". The stretch from base 199 to 352 matches the Rfam family "5.8S ribosomal RNA". Lineage: Eukaryota; Fungi; Ascomycota; Dothideomycetes; Pleosporales; Pleosporaceae. The record is from RNAcentral.